AUUGAACGCUGGCGGCAUGCUUUACACAUGCAAGUCGAACGGUAACAGGCCGCAAGGUUCUGACGAGUGGCGGACGGUUGAGUAAUGCAUCGGAACGUGCCCAGUCGUGGGGUAUAACUACUCGAAAGAGUAGCUAAUACCGCAUACGAUCUAUGGAUGAAAGCGGGGGACCGUAAGGCCUCGCGCGAUUUGAGCGGCCGAUGUCGGAUUAGGUAGUUGGUGGGGUAAAGGCUCACCAAGCCAACGAUCUGUAGCUGGUCUGAGAGGACAACCAGCCACACUGGGACUGAGACACGGCCCAGACUCCUACGGGAGGCAGCAGUGGGGAAUUUUGGACAAUGGGCGCAAGCCUGAUCCAGCAAUGCCGCGUGCAGGAAGAAGGCCUUCGGGUUGUAAACUGCUUUUGUACGGAAAGAAACGGCUCUGGUUAAUACCCGGGGCUAAUGACGGUACCGAAAGAAUAAGCACCGGCUAACUACGUG
This 482-nucleotide ribosomal RNA is filed under the name uncultured bacterium. Its description in RNAcentral is "partial 16S ribosomal RNA". It matches the Rfam family "Bacterial small subunit ribosomal RNA", at positions 30 to 507 of the family's 1533-position model. The record is from RNAcentral.